AGGUUCAUAAGUCAAUUGGUAGACGCUUAGAUUCCAAAUCUAAGUAUCUGGGUUCAAGUCCUAGUGAGCCUG
Molecule: transfer RNA, 72 nt
Filed under: Lactobacillus sp. A27
Lineage: Bacteria; Bacillati; Bacillota; Bacilli; Lactobacillales; Lactobacillaceae
Description: tRNA-Trp
Rfam family: tRNA
About the family: Transfer RNA (tRNA) molecules are approximately 80 nucleotides in length. Their secondary structure includes four short double-helical elements and three loops (D, anti-codon, and T loops).
Source: RNAcentral